AGAAUCCAUGUAGUUAUAGUUAUAGUUAGUUAUAGUUACAUACUAAGGAUUGUAUUUUUUAGCAGAUAGGAAAUGGCUUUUCUGACUUAAAUAUCUAGGAAGGAAGUAAUGAAAACUGUGGAAGAAAGCAGGGUAUAAAGAAAGGGGAAAAAAAUCUCUUAAGGAAGAGAUGCUCUAGCAGAGUGGAACACACUUGUAAUCCCAGCACUUGAGAUGCAGAAGCAGGAAGAUCAGGAGUUCAAAGCCAACCUUGAUUAUACAAUGACUUUGAAGAUAGUCUAGGUUAUAUGUGACCUUGUCUCAAAAAAGUGAAAAAUCCCAGAUGUGAGAGGUUACUCCUAUAAGUCUAGUACUUGGGAGGUUGGGACACUGGGAUUGCAAGAAGUUCGAAGUUAGCCUGGGGUUCACAGCUAAGUUGAAGCACAUCUAUAACUAAAUAAUAAGACCCUAAUUC
This 454-nucleotide long non-coding RNA is filed under the name Mus musculus (house mouse). Its description in RNAcentral is "long non-coding RNA chr13:109583991-109584445". The record is from RNAcentral. Lineage: Eukaryota; Metazoa; Chordata; Mammalia; Rodentia; Muridae.